GAAUUUGAGACGAAUAAUAAUAAUUUAGAAAAUAAAAAAGGUGAAAUGACCUAUCUUUGACUAAUUGAAUGUUGAUAUAUGGAUAUCAGCAUA
Molecule: non-coding RNA, 93 nt
Organism: Dermatophagoides farinae (American house dust mite)
Lineage: Eukaryota; Metazoa; Arthropoda; Arachnida; Sarcoptiformes; Pyroglyphidae
Source: RefSeq, a predicted model, not a curated record